RNAcentral lists this transfer RNA (77 nucleotides) under Klebsiella variicola. RNAcentral's name for it is "tRNA-Val". It matches the Rfam family "tRNA". From Rfam's summary of the family: Transfer RNA (tRNA) molecules are approximately 80 nucleotides in length. Their secondary structure includes four short double-helical elements and three loops (D, anti-codon, and T loops). The record is from RNAcentral. Lineage: Bacteria; Pseudomonadati; Pseudomonadota; Gammaproteobacteria; Enterobacterales; Enterobacteriaceae.
GCGUUUAUAGCUCAGUUGGUUAGAGCACCACCUUGACAUGGUGGGGGUCGUUGGUUCGAGUCCAUUUAAACGCACCA